AAAACUAGUGUACUAGUGGCUGAUAAAAUUGAGUUCUGACUUAGCGGUAGCAGGAGAUUUCUUUAUUAUUGACGAUAAAUUAUUUUGCCGGCAAUCGAAUGAGUAAAUGUGCACACAUGAGCGCAAAUGCAAAUGCGGUCUCGAAGAAGAAGAAGAAGAAGAAGAAGAAAAAGAAGAAGAUUCAAUGAAAAACAAAGCAGUGGUGGAAAGGGCAUGGGAUGAAGUAAAUUCCGGCAUAUGAAGAUUGCAAAUUAGUAUUAGACCUUUGACUUUAUAUAAAGGUCGUUUAACUAUGUUAUUUUAUCACACUGAUUGGUUGUUUUGCACGACUUAUUCCACGCUUUGCUUAAUCAACAUACUUAUUAUUAUAAUUUAAGUCUUUGUUGGUGUGUCUGUUGCUUAUUUAAGACUCAUCAAUGAGUUUGUUAAUAUGAACGCAACCCCGGCAAUAUCAUAAUAAAAUAGGUCUGAAGAUGAUGAAGAUGAUGAAGGAAGAAAUGUAGAAGGGAGUAAACAAUAAUCAUCAUCGAACUGACGGCGAAUAGGACACAGAGAUCGAAUACAUCGUAAUCGUCGGGGUACGUAAAUGCCGCAUACCAUGAAUACACUAAAGCUCAAGAUUGGGCGCCAGUUUAGCUUCAGCGAAACAAUGCCAAUGGUUUUUAAAUAAACGUAGGACUGGAAUGUUUUUGUACAAGAGAUUGUAUUGCUAUGAUUGAUGACACUUUAUUAGCAUUGUUCAUAUUGCCAAACGAAUUAAGGUCUCCAGAGAAAUUAACAUCAUACAUAUCUUUUUAUUCUAUAGCUAUGUUAACUAUAUUCUCUUACCGUGUUGCGGAGUGCGGACUAGUGUCAUGGCGUUCAAUCUACAUAUCAUGAAUCCAUUAAUCAUAAACCAGAGGCGGCUUUGUCAAUCGCCUACAAUUGUUAACUUUAAUCUGCCACUGGUAUUGAAUCUCAUAUACAAUAUCUGAGUAUAGAUUGUGUCGGGACAUUACUUAAAUGCUUUUUACAUUGAAAACAAUAGAUACUUGAGUACAUGUAUGGGAGGACAGUGACAUUUGGUGAUGUCCUCGAUGCCCUAUGUGUCACGUUUCGUCCUCCACCUCACCUUUCACCUGUCUCUUUUCAUAUAUAUUUUUAUUUAUCGUUUAUCUUGGGCGCCAAGGGUCCAAAUCAUACUGAUAAAUCUCAAAAAAAAAAGAAAAAGAAAAAUUUAAUUGUAUUGUUGAGAAUUCCACACUUUAUUAUAUUCUUGCUAAAUUAAAUAAAUUCUUGUCAUAUAUAUCUUAUGAUCGUGAUUAACAAGUUGUGUCACGUAUUUUCCGAGGCUGAGAUAUUCGACGCUCUCAUCGUGACACUGAGGUAGUUAGUGGUAAGGAUGCUGCGCAAGGCCAAGGGAAAAUCUUAGUGAAUGGAUAGCUUUGCAGCCAUUAGCUACCUUAUCGCAAAAUGCAAAACACUAUUUAUUUUAUCCCAAUUUCUUAUAAUAACUAACGUAGUUUAAAAUUCAUUUGAAUAUCGGUAAUUCAUACUUGAGAGACCAAAAAAUUAUAAGAUAAUUAUUAAAAUACGCUAAACAUAAACAUAAAAAAUUACUUAUAAUUUGAUAUUUAAUAAUCGUUAAUAUAUUCACAUUUAAAAGAGUUACUGAAUCGCUCAGGAAUUAAUUUGAGACAUUUUGAAAUAUGUUACUUUUAUUUUUAUGGUUUACAUGGUACUUUCAAAUUUAAUUUUAUAAAAAUUUAAUAUUAAUUACUUAGUCAUUUGUUACUUUGAGUUAUGUUAAUUCAUUUGUAUUGUGGCUCUUAGCUGUUGUAAGAC
Long non-coding RNA from Microplitis mediator, 1824 nucleotides. RefSeq lists it as uncharacterized. The record is from RefSeq and is a predicted model, not a curated record. The transcript has 3 exons. Lineage: Eukaryota; Metazoa; Arthropoda; Insecta; Hymenoptera; Braconidae.